RNAcentral lists this long non-coding RNA (510 nucleotides) under Brassica napus (rape). Its description in RNAcentral is "long non-coding RNA (BNAP_LNC017010)". The record is from RNAcentral. Lineage: Eukaryota; Viridiplantae; Streptophyta; Magnoliopsida; Brassicales; Brassicaceae.
UAAUUUCCAGAUCCAUGACUUUGAAAUCGGAUUCAGAUUUUCAAACAUCAAGCAUAGAUGCAAAAAAAUUGAGCAAAUGUAAAUUCCAUGUGCACAGAAAAAACAAAAAGGGAAAUUUAACUUACAGACUGCCAUUAAUAAGAAUCUAGGAUGAAAUGUCAAUUAAGAUGUCUCUUAGAAACAAUCGCUUCUAACGGAGAAAGAAGAUAAAAGAGGAUCUGAAGAAGAUUGUGGAAGGAUUAGAUUGUUUGAGGGUUCCGUGAGGUGCAUAUAUAUACCGAAUGCAAUCGCAACUAAUGGAUAGGAUGACCAAGUAGUGUGCUGCUUAGAUAACUGGAUCGUCACUGCGCGAUCAAAGAGAAACGAAGAACACAAAGGGGUUCGCAUCGCAACUGAUUAGGGUUUCCGUAGAAGCUUGUGGUCGAUGGGCCGCAGACUAAGCGCAACACGAAGCCCACGUGAAGCCCGUUCGGACAGAACAAAGCUUUAGUGAAACGGUGCGGAUCCGAC